This 468-nucleotide ribosomal RNA is filed under the name uncultured bacterium. RNAcentral describes it as "partial 16S ribosomal RNA". It matches the Rfam family "Bacterial small subunit ribosomal RNA", at positions 28 to 507 of the family's 1533-position model. The record is from RNAcentral.
GACGAACGCUGGCGGCGUGCUUAACACAUGCAAGUCGAACGGAAAGGCACUGCUUGUGUGGGGUUCUCGAGUGGCGAACGGGUGAGUAACACGUGAGUAACCUGCCCUUGACUUUGGGGUAACUUCAGGAAACUGGGGCUAAUACCGGAUAGGAGCUCCUGCUGCGUGGUGGGGGUUGGAAAGUUUCGGCGGUUGGGGAUGGACUCGCGGCUUAUCGGCUUGUUGGUGGGGUAGUGGCUGACCAAGGCUUGGACGGGUAGCCGGCCUGAGAGGGUGACCGGCCACAUUGGGACUGAGAUACGGCCCAGACUCCUACGGGAGGCAGCAGUGGGGAAUAUUGCACAAUGGGCGGAAGCCUGAUGCAGCAACGCCGCGUGCGGGAUGACGGCCUUCGGGUUGUAAACCGCUUUCGCCUGUGACGAAGCGUGAGUGACGGUAAUGGGUAAAGAAGCACCGGCUAACUACGUG